ACAUGCAAGUCGAGCGGUAGCACAGAGAGCUUGCUCUCGGGUGACGAGCGGCGGACGGGUGAGUAAUGUCUGGGAAACUGCCUGAUGGAGGGGGAUAACUACUGGAAACGGUAGCUAAUACCGCAUAACGUCGCAAGACCAAAGUGGGGGACCUUCGGGCCUCAUGCCAUCAGAUGUGCCCAGAUGGGAUUAGCUAGUAGGUGGGGUAACGGCUCACCUAGGCGACGAUCCCUAGCUGGUCUGAGAGGAUGACCAGCCACACUGGAACUGAGACACGGUCCAGACUCCUACGGGAGGCAGCAGUGGGGAAUAUUGCACAAUGGGCGCAAGCCUGAUGCAGCCAUGCCGCGUGUGUGAAGAAGGCCUUCGGGUUGUAAAGUACUUUCAGCGGGGAGGAAGGCGAUAAGGUUAAUAACCUUGUCGAUUGACGUUACCCGCAGAAGAAGCACCGGCUAACUCCGUGCCAGCAGCCGCGGUAAUACGGAGGGUGCAAGCGUUAAUCGGAAUUACUGGGCGUAAAGCGCACGCAGGCGGUCUGUCAAGUCGGAUGUGAAAUCCCCGGGCUCAACCUGGGAACUGCAUUCGAAACUGGCAGGCUAGAGUCUUGUAGAGGGGGGUAGAAUUCCAGGUGUAGCGGUGAAAUGCGUAGAGAUCUGGAGGAAUACCGGUGGCGAAGGCGGCCCCCUGGACAAAGACUGACGCUCAGGUGCGAAAGCGUGGGGAGCAAACAGGAUUAGAUACCCUGGUAGUCCACGCCGUAAACGAUGUCGAUUUGGAGGUUGUGCCCUUGAGGCGUGGCUUCCGGAGCUAACGCGUUAAAUCGACCGCCUGGGGAGUACGGCCGCAAGGUUAAAACUCAAAUGAAUUGACGGGGGCCCGCACAAGCGGUGGAGCAUGUGGUUUAAUUCGAUGCAACGCGAAGAACCUUACCUGGUCUUGACAUCCACAGAACUUAGCAGAGAUGCUUUGGUGCCUUCGGGAACUGUGAGACAGGUGCUGCAUGGCUGUCGUCAGCUCGUGUUGUGAAAUGUUGGGUUAAGUCCCGCAACGAGCGCAACCCUUAUCCUUUGUUGCCAGCGGUUCGGCCGGGAACUCAAAGGAGACUGCCAGUGAUAAACUGGAGGAAGGUGGGGAUGACGUCAAGUCAUCAUGGCCCUUACGACCAGGGCUACACACGUGCUACAAUGGCAUAUACAAAGAGAAGCGACCUCGCGAGAGCAAGCGGACCUCAUAAAGUAUGUCGUAGUCCGGAUUGGAGUCUGCAACUCGACUCCAUGAAGUCGGAAUCGCUAGUAAUCGUAGAUCAGAAUGCUACGGUGAAUACGUUCCCGGGCCUUGUACACACCGCCCGUCACACCAUGGGAGUGGGUUGCAAAAGAAGUAGGUAGCUUAACCUUCGGGAGGGCGCUUACCACUUUGUGAUUCAUGACUGGGGUGAAGUCGUAACAAGG
This 1451-nucleotide ribosomal RNA is filed under the name Klebsiella pneumoniae. RNAcentral's name for it is "bacterial SSU rRNA". It matches the Rfam family "Bacterial small subunit ribosomal RNA". The record is from RNAcentral. Lineage: Bacteria; Pseudomonadati; Pseudomonadota; Gammaproteobacteria; Enterobacterales; Enterobacteriaceae.